This 467-nucleotide ribosomal RNA is filed under the name uncultured bacterium. RNAcentral describes it as "partial 16S ribosomal RNA". It matches the Rfam family "Bacterial small subunit ribosomal RNA", at positions 28 to 506 of the family's 1533-position model. The record is from RNAcentral.
GACGAACGCUGGCGGCGUGCUUAACACAUGCAAGUCGAACGGAAAGGCCCUGCUUUUGUUGGGUGCUCGAGUGGCGAACGGGUGUGUAACACGUGAGUAACCUGCCCUUGACUUUGGGAUAACUUCAGGAAACUGGGGCUAAUACCGGAUAGGAGCUCCUGCUGCAUGGUGUGGGUUGGAAAGUUUCGGCGGUUGGGGAUGGACUCGCGGCUUAUCAGCUUGUUGGUGGGGUAGUGGCUUACCAAGGCUUUGACGGGUAGCCGGACUGGAAGGGUGACCGGCCACAGGGGGACUGAGGAAGGACCCGGACGCCUACGGGAGGAAGGGGUGGGAAAUAUUGGGCAAAGGGCGGAGGGCUGGAGGAGCAACGCCGGGUGGGGGAUGACGGUCUUCGGGGUGGAAACCGCGUUCGACUGUGACGAAGCGUGAGGGAGGGAAAUGGGUAAAGAAGCACCGGCAACCUACGU